RNAcentral lists this ribosomal RNA (350 nucleotides) under uncultured Ruminococcus sp. Its description in RNAcentral is "bacterial SSU rRNA". It matches the Rfam family "Bacterial small subunit ribosomal RNA", at positions 355 to 721 of the family's 1533-position model. The record is from RNAcentral. Lineage: Bacteria; Bacillati; Bacillota; Clostridia; Eubacteriales; Oscillospiraceae.
UGGGGGAUAUUGCGCAAUGGGGGCAACCCUGACGCAGCAACGCCGCGUGAAGGAUGAAGGUUUUCGGAUUGUAAACUUCUUUUAUUAAGGACGAAUAAUGACGGUACUUAAUGAAUAAGCUCCGGCUAACUACGUGCCAGCAGCCGCGGUAAUACGUAGGGAGCAAGCGUUGUCCGGAUUUACUGGGUGUAAAGGGUGCGUAGGCGGCUAAGCAAGUCAGAUGUGAAAUCUAUGGGCUCAACCCAUAAACUGCAUUUGAAACUGCAUAGCUUGAGUGAAGUAGAGGCAGGCGGAAUUCCCCGUGUAGCGGUGAAAUGCGUAGAGAUGGGGAGGAACACCAGUGGCGAAGG